This 2833-nucleotide long non-coding RNA is filed under the name Homo sapiens (human). Its description in RNAcentral is "HSALNT0029080". Lineage: Eukaryota; Metazoa; Chordata; Mammalia; Primates; Hominidae. The record is from RNAcentral.
GCCAGGGGCAGCAGCAGAAGAUGCCAGGAGAGAACAGAGAAUAUUCUGGGUCAAAGUCUUUGUUGAAGCUAAGGUGGUGCAUUUGGAGACCCCAUUUCUCCAUCCUGCAGAAGGGUGUCCCAGAGCAGAAGACACAAUGGGGAGUCGCAGAGCCCAGCAUGGAAAGGAAAGACAAAACCACAUCACUGUGUUGCUGAUACACCAGACAGGACCAGAAAGGAGGCAUUGAAUGGUCAGUCUCCAAGCCAUAGGAUUUCCAGAAGAAGGUGGGAGAGGAGACGCUGGGCUGCAGAAAUCACUGAGCCAACCAGACAGAGCAUGGGGGGCGAGCACGUUCAGGGGCCCAGAACCUGGGCUCACCAAAGGGUCUGACUGAGAAUCUUACUCUACUCACGCAGGGCUCUUCUUCUUCAGUCCCCCACACCUCUACCUCCCCUCUGCACUGGGCUUCUUGCAUCUUUUAAGGACAUUUCUACUUGUUUACAAAUGUGGCCACAUCCUCCCACCUGGGAAACAUAUAUAUGUAUGAAAAGAAACCCAGAAGGCUCAUAUAUAUAUGCAUGAGCUUUCUAGGUUUCUUUUCUUUUCUGUUUAUUUUGAGGCAGGGUCUCACUCUGUUGUCCAGGCUGGAGUGCAGUGGUGCAAUCUCAGCUCACUGCAGCCUUCACCACCCAGGCUCAGGUGAUCCUCCCACCUCAGCCUCCUGAGGAGCUGGGACGACAGGUGCGUGCCACCAUGCCCACCUUCUAUGUUUCAACACUCACCUAUUGCUCAUGACACUCCUCUGAAGUGAGUAGGAUCCCCAGCUUCCAUAGGAGGUAAUAACAGUGGAAAGAACACAGGCCUGGCAUGGGACAGCCCCAGGUCUGAACCCCAACUCUGACACAGUAGCUCAGUGACCCGGACAAGGCGCUCGUUCCCUCUAAGCCUCAGUUACCUGGUCUGGAAGAUGGAGAUGAGAGACCUCCUCACUGGGGUAUUGUGAGCAUCGACCUUACCAAUGUGGGGAAAGUGCCAGCACUCAGUAAGUGGUGGCAACAAGGAUUAUUCCUGUUCCUCAGAGAGGCGGAGUAACCACAAGGCAGAACUGGGACUUGAGCACGGCCAGCAGACCCAAGUCACGGGAAAAUUGCCAAGAAUGGGCACCCUGGUACAAAGCAAGGAAUGUGACGGCAUAAGCAGGGGGCUGGCCCCCGAAUCACCUUCACAGGGAGCCCGGGCCUAUUUCAGGGUCCUCUGUGGGGACGGAAGCAGAAACAAUACUCAGGCCAGUAUAGGGGCCAGGACUUCAUGGGGCUCAGGGGUUUUAGGCAAUUCCAAAAGGUUGUCACCAGCUAUUGAAUAAAAUUGGUCACCCUCGGUUCCAAAGCAGAAGGGCUAAUGUGCCGUAACAUAUUGAAUGGAUUCAGUGUCUUUCUGCAAAGGAGAUCAAAGCACUUCAAAAUCAUUUCCUGCACACUCUCCUGAGAAGCAGCCAGGGAGGAAAACCUGUUUCAUCUACGAGAUACGCUUGGUGUCAGUCACCAUCUCUGAGAUUGUAGAAUUCUUUCUGUUUCCAAAAGGCUUUGGCAUGCCGCCUCAGUGGCACCUUGGGAGGUAGACCGGUGGGACUGACCCAUUUUACAGACAGGUAAGUGGGAGCCCAGGGAGCCUGGGAGCCUUUCCCAAGUGAGGACUUGCCCCUCGCAGAUGGCCACAGCACACUGGCAUAUCCAUGGCCCACUGUGAAACCCACACAGACCACAACAGGGCCAGGUCCUGGAAGACCAGGAUGAGGUUGGCCUUUGAAUCAACAGCUCACAACAGUGCCGCAAAUGCCCCACUCUCUGAACUCCAGGAGCCGGUGCCUAAGUACAAUGGAAGUGGCCUCCUGGGCCUCUGAAGCCUGAAUGACAGGCAGAUCCCCCAGCCACUCUAAGUCUCACACUGGGGAGGCAUCCUCCCUGCAUUGCUGAGUCUGCUAUUUUCUCCUUCCCGUGGCACCCCCAUACUCCUCCUGUGCCCUCAAUCCCUCCCCCUCCAUUCACCCCGGGCUCUUGUUCAGUCCCCCACACCUCUAUCUCCCUUCUGCUCUGGGCUUCUUGCAUCUUUUAAGGACAUUUCUCCUUGUCUACAAAUGUGGCCAUGUCCUCCCACCUGGGAAAAACCUUCCCCAGACCCUGUCAUCCAUCAGCUUAGUCACUGCCCACUGCCCCUCCCACCCCCUCCUCUCCUGACACGCUUCCCCUGGAUUGAUCUACGUGAUCACUUCUAGUUUUUUCCUACACGCUACUGAGUCCUCCAAGCAGACUUUCACCCUAACCCUUUACUGCCGUUGCUCACCAAUCACCAUUCCCAUUCUCCUAAAUAAUAACUGCUGCAUACUGAGGAGUCUACAGCCGCAGGUGCUAUGCCAUCCACCUUAAAAUGACCUUGUGAGAUGGGUACUGUUAAGCCAGGUUACAGACAAGGCAAUGGAGGCUCACAGUAAGCAUCUGGGUUCAAGUUCCCAACAGUCCAAGUCUAAAGCCAGGGCUUCUCCUCCUGGCCUCAGCCUUCACUAUGUGCCUGGCAUAGGUAGACCUCAGCCCUCCCCUUCCUCCAGCACCCACCUUCUGCCUCCACCCAUGCAUGUCCCGAGCUUCUUCCUUCAUCGCUCUCGCCUCACUCCUCCACUCUCCCCUGGCUUCAGCCAAGACUCUCUGAGAUGGUCCCCAAGCCCACCCCUCUGGCUCCAAUCCCUGUCCCAGAUUUGAGGUUUAUGUUUCUAAAUCCAGGAGGUCUCAGCUCCUUGGCUGCUCAACUUCCUGGGCUCUUCCAAUACCAUGUUGCUAUUUUAUUUUUAUUUUUAUUU